Molecule: ribosomal RNA, 638 nt
Filed under: Acinetobacter baumannii
Lineage: Bacteria; Pseudomonadati; Pseudomonadota; Gammaproteobacteria; Moraxellales; Moraxellaceae
Description: partial 23S ribosomal RNA
Rfam family: Bacterial large subunit ribosomal RNA
Source: RNAcentral
AGUCAAGUAAUUAAGUGCAUGUGGUGGAUGCCUUGGCAGUCAGAGGCGAUGAAAGACGUGAUAGCCUGCGAAAAGCUCCGGGGAGGCGGCAAAUAUCCUUUGAUCCGGAGAUGUCUGAAUGGGGGAACCCACCUACUUUAAGGUAGGUAUUGCAACAUGAAUACAUAGUGUUGCAAGGCGAACGAGGGGAAGUGAAACAUCUCAGUACCCUUAGGAAAAGAAAUCAAUUGAGAUUCCCUCAGUAGCGGCGAGCGAACGGGGAUCAGCCCAUUAAGUUAUGUGUGUUUUAGUGGAACGCUCUGGGAAGUGCGAACGUAGAGGGUGAUAUUCCCGUACACGAAAGGGCACACAUAAUGAUGACGAGUAGGGCGAGGCACGUGAAACCUUGUCUGAAUAUGGGGGGACCAUCCUCCAAGGCUAAAUACUCCUGACUGACCGAUAGUGAACCAGUACCGUGAGGGAAAGGCGAAAAGAACCCCUGUGAGGGGAGUGAAAUAGAUCCUGAAACCGCAUGCAUACAAGCAGUGGGAGCACCUUCGUGGUGUGACUGCGUACCUUUUGUAUAAUGGGUCAGCGACUUAUAUUCAGUAGCGAGGUUAACCGUAUAGGGGAGCCGUAGAGAAAUCGAGUCUUAAUAG